This is a non-coding RNA of Trichonephila inaurata madagascariensis, 83 nucleotides long. The record is from the annotation of a GenBank genome assembly. Lineage: Eukaryota; Metazoa; Arthropoda; Arachnida; Araneae; Nephilidae.
UUCAGGAUGGCCGAAUGGUUAUGACAUCGGACUUCUGAUCCGAAUGACUAUUGUCAAGGUCGGUUCGAUUCCUGCUCCUGAAC